Molecule: non-coding RNA, 107 nt
Organism: Gossypium raimondii (Peruvian cotton)
Lineage: Eukaryota; Viridiplantae; Streptophyta; Magnoliopsida; Malvales; Malvaceae
Source: Rfam
AACCUAUGGUGAGGGAACCUUCUCAAAAGAUCCUUAAAUCUCUCUCAUGCAGCAUAUAAUGUUUCCAAAUCAAUUUGACAAAAAGAAGAGAUAUCCUUCAUUAACUU